RNAcentral lists this ribosomal RNA (879 nucleotides) under Ectopseudomonas mendocina. RNAcentral's name for it is "bacterial SSU rRNA". It matches the Rfam family "Bacterial small subunit ribosomal RNA", at positions 66 to 941 of the family's 1533-position model. Lineage: Bacteria; Pseudomonadati; Pseudomonadota; Gammaproteobacteria; Pseudomonadales; Pseudomonadaceae. The record is from RNAcentral.
GCGGAUGAGGGAGCUUGCUCCCUGAUUUAGCGGCGGACGGGUGAGUAAUGCCUAGGAAUCUGCCUGGUAGUGGGGGAUAACGUUCCGAAAGGAACGCUAAUACCGCGUACGUCCUACGGGAGAAAGCAGGGGACCUUCGGGCCUUGCGCUAUCAGAUGAGCCUAGGUCGGAUUAGCUAGUUGGUGAGGUAAUGGCUCACCAAGGCGACGAUCCGUAACUGGUCUGAGAGGAUGAUCAGUCACACUGGAACUGAGACACGGUCCAGACUCCUACGGGAGGCAGCAGUGGGGAAUAUUGGACAAUGGGCGAAAGCCUGAUCCAGCCAUGCCGCGUGUGUGAAGAAGGUCUUCGGAUUGUAAAGCACUUUAAGUUGGGAGGAAGGGCUGCUGGUUAAUACCCUGCAGUUUUGACGUUACCAACAGAAUAAGCACCGGCUAACUUCGUGCCAGCAGCCGCGGUAAUACGAAGGGUGCAAGCGUUAAUCGGAAUUACUGGGCGUAAAGCGCGCGUAGGUGGUUCGUUAAGUUGGAUGUGAAAGCCCCGGGCUCAACCUGGGAACUGCAUCCAAAACUGGCGAGCUAGAGUACGGUAGAGGGUGGUGGAAUUUCCUGUGUAGCGGUGAAAUGCGUAGAUAUAGGAAGGAACACCAGUGGCGAAGGCGACCACCUGGACUGAUACUGACACUGAGGUGCGAAAGCGUGGGGAGCAAACAGGAUUAGAUACCCUGGUAGUCCACGCCGUAAACGAUGUCAACUAGCCGUUGGAAUCCUUGAGAUUUUAGUGGCGCAGCUAACGCAUUAAGUUGACCGCCUGGGGAGUACGGCCGCAAGGUUAAAACUCAAAUGAAUUGACGGGGGUCCGCACAAGCGGUGGACCAUG